Molecule: ribosomal RNA, 460 nt
Filed under: uncultured bacterium
Lineage: Bacteria
Description: partial 16S ribosomal RNA
Rfam family: Bacterial small subunit ribosomal RNA
Source: RNAcentral
CCUACGGGAUGCAGCAGUGAGGAAUGUUGGUCAAUGGACGAGAGUCUGAACCAGCCAAGUAGCGUGAAGGAUGACUGCCCUAUGGGUUGUAAACUUCUUUUAUAAAGGAAUAAAACGAGGCACGUGUGCCUUUUUGCAUGUACUUUAUGAAUAAGGAUCGGCUAACUCCGUGCCAGCCGCCGCGGUAAUACGGAGGAUCCGAGCGUUAUCCGGAUUUAUUGGGUUUAAAGGGAGCGUAGAUGGGUUGUUAAGUCAGUUGUGAAAGUUUGCGGCUCAACCGUAAAAUUGCAAUUGAUACUGGCAGUCUUGAGUACAGUUGAGGUAAGCGGAAUUCGUGGUGUAGCGGUGAAAUGCUUAGAUAUCACGAAGAACCCCGAUUGCGAAGGCAGCUUACUAAACUGUGACUGACAUUGAUGCUCGAAAGUGUGGGUAUCAAACAGGAUUAGAUACCCUUGUAGUC